RNAcentral lists this long non-coding RNA (461 nucleotides) under Pan troglodytes (chimpanzee). RNAcentral's name for it is "long non-coding RNA NONPTRT008048". Lineage: Eukaryota; Metazoa; Chordata; Mammalia; Primates; Hominidae. The record is from RNAcentral.
GAGUGUGUGUGUUGGGGACAGCCAGGUCCCUUGGGUGGAGCUGAGUAGGAUUGCCCAGAGUGGGAGGAAGAGGUGGUUUGGGGAGAGCAGCACUCUGGGGCCUUCAUGGAACAGGUACCUGUGUAGCCAGGAAGAUGGGCCGAGGUUGUUGACAUCUCUUUCAGAUGCCCAAGACCUUGUGGGAGCCAGAGCAUCUCCCAAGAGCAUGGAGAGCUUGUUCAUGAACCUGGUCUGGUUGGUUUGGCUCUGGCUUUGACCAAAGACAUGCUUAGUGCUAAUCCCACACUCCUGGCUCAGAUGGAAGGACAGUCCACUUUUCUCUUCCACUGCUAGAGGCCUGCAAAGCAAGGACCUGAGGCUCCCCAUGGCUGGGCAGGCCCCAGGAACUGACAUGAUGAGUGACACGAGUUCUGGAAGCUUGGAGGUGAGCCCUGGUAGCCAGGAGACUUCAUUUGCUACCG